Molecule: ribosomal RNA, 180 nt
Filed under: uncultured Glomeromycotina
Lineage: Eukaryota; Fungi; Glomeromycota
Description: partial small subunit ribosomal RNA
Rfam family: Eukaryotic small subunit ribosomal RNA (bases 37-180)
Source: RNAcentral
GGAUCAAUCUAUCGGUCGUGCAAUAGUACGUACUGAUUUUAUUGAUUCCUACCUUCUGAUGAACUAUGAUGUCAUUAAUUUGGUGUCAUAGGGAAUCAGGACUGUUACUUUGAAAAAAUUAGAGUGUUCAAAGCAGGCUUACGCCCGAAUACAUUAGCAUGGAAUAAUAAAAUAGGACGU